Molecule: long non-coding RNA, 1132 nt
Filed under: Olea europaea (common olive)
Lineage: Eukaryota; Viridiplantae; Streptophyta; Magnoliopsida; Lamiales; Oleaceae
Description: long non-coding RNA (OEUR_LNC011189)
Source: RNAcentral
AAAGGGAUCCUAAGUUCAGGUCUAGCCGUCACCAAUUUCUGAAAAUUGUGUGGAUGUCAGCUCGUUGAUGUAAAAAAGAAUCUGGUUUGCAUGUGAAGGGGCGUGACGAUGUGUUGAAGACGUGACUUAAAUAAAUUAGUUUGUCCUCCCCUUAACUGUUUAAACUUCCAGAUGAGGAGCAUCAACAGUCUUCUUUAGAAUUUCUUUUAUAUAAAAAGAAAAAUCAGCAUUAGCUUUCAUCUCUAUCAUGUUCUUGUAUAGUGGUAAAUGCAUUAUCCUCAAGUACACAUUCAGAAAUUUAUUUACUCAUCAUUUACAUCUUCUGCAGUUUGAUAGGUUCCAUUAUAAUUGUUAUCGGGUUCUACUCAGUGAUGUGGGGAAAGUCAAAGGAAGUUGAGGUGGUAGACGACAAUGUACUGAGAAGCUCUGAAUCAAGAACUGAAAAUUUCCCUUUGCUACCAGCCAAGGAUGAGGAAAUCAAUGCCUAAUGCAUAAAAUCAAAGUUUGACUCUUCCUCGCUAUAAAAUGUAGGUAUGUGCUUUUCUCCAGGAAAGAAGUUUUGGCUUCUAAUAGCAGAAGAAAAUUUAAUUUAUGAGCUCUUUAUCUUUCAUUAUGAGAAAAAUUGAUAUCAAGAUGCAUGUGGUAUCUGUCUUUCUUUUGGUCGAGCAUAUCAGAGGUUCUUGCAGCACAACUUGACUAACAGAAAAGUUUGAGAAUGGAUAAGGACCUAUCCAUUCAUCUCAGUCAGCAUAUUAAGUUAUUUUACUCAGCAGAAAUGAAAUAUCUUGAAUAAACACAAGAUUAUCUCCUAUUGUUAGUUCGAGUGUUUUUUUUUACUUGCAUCAUAUGUAAUGCAGUGAAUGAUUUAUUGUGUAUUGUUUGUUUUAUUUUUCUAUUUCUCAUAUAAGGGUAAUUUGUACUUGUCUAAAUAAAAUUGUUAAAUUGAACAAGUGUCUUGAGUUAGUGAAUGGUGCACUUUUAUGUUGAGAUAUAAUGCUACUACAUUUCUCGUGUUAAAUUAGUUGCGAGAACAACAAUUCCAAUCAACUCGAAGUUGAAACCAUAUAUGUCCUUAUAAUUUAAUUUAAAACGAUACAUUAUUGAGUACACAAUUCAAAUAUUUCGAUUGGAG